This is an RNA transcript of Sapajus apella (tufted capuchin), 856 nucleotides long. It is a transcript of the gene named 60S ribosomal protein L13 pseudogene, with no coding region annotated. The record is from RefSeq and is a predicted model, not a curated record. NCBI's taxonomy places the organism in Eukaryota, Metazoa, Chordata, Mammalia, Primates, Cebidae. The transcript is spliced from 2 exons.
AUGAUUGCUGACAUGUUUGAGACCACACCUGACAUAUUUCAGAUCCUUCCUCACAUGUUUAAGACCCUUCAUGAGUUGUUCUACAGUCUUGCUGACUGUGCAGCCAUAGUGCCCAGCUGGAACGGCAUGAUCUUGAAACCCCACUUCCACAAGGACUGGCAGGGGCACGUGGCCACGUGGUUUAACUAGCUGGCCCAGAAGAUCCUCAGACGUUAAGGCUCAGCAAGCCAAGGUGCACCACAUUGCCCCGCAGCCUGCAUCUCAGGGGCCCAUCCAGCCCAUGUGCUCUGCCCCACAGUUCGGUACCACACGAAGGUGUGCACUGGCUGCGGCUUCAGCCUGAAGGAGCUCCGGGCGGCAGGCAUUCACAAGAAGGUGGCCCGGACCAUUGGCAUUUCUGUGGAUCCAGGGAUCCACCGAGUCCACCGAGUCCCUGAAGGCCAACAUGCAGCAGCCGAAGGAGGACGGCUCCAAACUCAUCCUCUUCCCUAGGAAGCCCUCAGCCCCAAAGAAGGCAGACAGUUCUGCUAAAGAGCUGAAACUGGCCACCCAGCUGACAGGACCCGUCAUGCCCAUCCGGAAUGUCUGUAAGAAGGAGAAAGCUCGAGUCAUCACUGAGGAGGAGAAGAGUUUCAAAGCUUUCGCUAGUCUCCACAUGGCCAGUGCCAACGCCCGGCUAGUCAGCAUACAGGCAAAAAGAGCCAAAGAAGCUAUAGAACAGGAUGUUGAAAAGAAAAGGAUAAAGCCCUCUUGGGGACAUGCAAUAAAUCAGCAGUCAUGCUGGGAAAAAAAAAAAAGAAAGAAAGAAAGAAAAGAACAGUCUCAAAAAAUAACAGAAAGGGUUUCAAAUAGUUAG